Molecule: small nuclear RNA, 283 nt
Filed under: Mus caroli (Ryukyu mouse)
Lineage: Eukaryota; Metazoa; Chordata; Mammalia; Rodentia; Muridae
Description: sRNA (MGP_CAROLIEiJ_G0008858.1)
Rfam family: 7SK RNA
About the family: 7SK was discovered as an abundant small nuclear RNA in the mid-70s but a possible function has only recently been suggested. Two independent studies have found that 7SK RNA binds the CDK9/cyclin T complex (known as elongation factor P-TEFb).
Source: RNAcentral
GGAUAGGAGGGUGCUUCCUCACCGGAAUGAUUGACCAGAUUGACAUGGCUCAUCUGGCUGUCUCAGUGGGUGUCCCCUUCCUCUGUCACCACUCCAUGUGUGCUUGGAAGGAUGGACUUCCCCAAAAGAUAAAGGAGAUAGAGCACAUGAGUAGCCGUGCUCCUCUGCUGUUGAUAGAACUCCAAAGGAUUGUUCAAGGUCCAUUUGUAGGAGGAUGUAAAUGAGGCUUCUAAGACUCGAGAUACAUUUAAAUGAGGUGCUGCACAUGGCAAGCUGCCUUUUU